CCCUUAGAUGUUCUGGGCCGCACGCGUGCUACACUGAGUAAAUCAAUGGGUAAGGGAACACGAAAGUGCAACCUAAUCUUGAAAUUUGCUCGUGAUGGGGAUCGACGGUUGCAAUUUUCCGUCGUGAACGAGGAAUACCUUGUAGGCGCGUGUCAUCAUCACGCGCCGAAUACGUCCCUGCCCUUUGUACACACCGCCCGUCGCUCCUACCGAUUGAAUGCUCAGGUGAGCCAUUCGGACUUUCAUCAUGCUGGUUUCCAGUUUUGAUGAAGGAAAGUCUUGCGAACCUUAUCAUUUAGAGGAAGGAGAAGUCGUAACA
Molecule: ribosomal RNA, 319 nt
Filed under: uncultured eukaryote
Lineage: Eukaryota
Description: partial 18S ribosomal RNA
Rfam family: Eukaryotic small subunit ribosomal RNA
Source: RNAcentral